GAGCGGCGAACGGGUGAGUAACACGUGGGUGAUCUGCCUCGUACUUCGGGAUAAGCCUGGGAAACUGGGUCUAAUACCGGAUAUGACCACGGGAUGCAUGUCUUGUGGUGGAAAGAUUUAUCGGUACGAGAUGGGCCCGCGGCCUAUCAGCUUGUUGGUGGGGUAAUGGCCUACCAAGGCGACGACGGGUAGCCGACCUGAGAGGGUGACCGGCCACACUGGGACUGAGACACGGCCCAGACUCCUACGGGAGGCAGCAGUGGGGAAUAUUGCACAAUGGGCGGAAGCCUGAUGCAGCGACGCCGCGUGCGGGAUGACGGCCUUCGGGUUGUAAACCGCUUUCGANAGGGACGAAGGGAAACUGACGGUACCUGUAGAAGAAGCACCGGCCAACUACGUGCCAGCAGCCGCGGUAAUACGUAGGGUGCGAGCGUUGUCCGGAAUUACUGGGCGUAAAGAGCUUGUAGGCGGUUCGUCGCGUCGAUUGUGAAAACUUGGGGCUCAACCCCAAGCUUGCAGUCGAUACGGGCGGGCUAGAGUACUGCAGGGGAGACUGGAAUUCCU
RNAcentral lists this ribosomal RNA (564 nucleotides) under Nocardia sp. 340C01. RNAcentral describes it as "bacterial SSU rRNA". It matches the Rfam family "Bacterial small subunit ribosomal RNA", at positions 93 to 671 of the family's 1533-position model. Lineage: Bacteria; Bacillati; Actinomycetota; Actinomycetes; Mycobacteriales; Nocardiaceae. The record is from RNAcentral.